GUUGGGCCUCUUUUUUGUUUAAAAAUAUUGGGCCCAAGUCCCAUAUGAACGAAUUAUUGCCCCCCAAAACAACAACAAAUGGUCCAAAUAAGUGAAAUGACCAAAUUGAUUCCCUAAAACUGCAAAGGCAGACCCUUUUCCUCCCUUCUCCAGUUUUCCAUUCUAUAAUUGCCAUUUGAAGAUCAAAGAAGAGGUAGCAGCUAGCAGCUGCUGCUACCGCGCCGCGAGGAGGAGGAGGAGGAGGCGCUACCAAAGAAGUGUUCUGCCGACUGUUGCUUUCUUUUCUGGUCUCAAAGUCUUCGAGCUUGAGCAGCCUUUGAUCGGACUGGUGACUGGUAAGCGCAUUUGUCUUUCUCUCUCUCUGGAUUUGUUCUUGUUCUAUUUUGUUGAAUAAUGAAUGUUGUCUAUAAUUUGUAAAUUGUUUAAUCACAUUCACAUAAACUGUUAAAAAGCAAUUUU
RNAcentral lists this long non-coding RNA (459 nucleotides) under Olea europaea subsp. europaea. Lineage: Eukaryota; Viridiplantae; Streptophyta; Magnoliopsida; Lamiales; Oleaceae. The record is from RNAcentral.